AGAGUUUGAUUAUGGCUCAAGAUGAACGCUGGCGGCGUGCUUAACCAUGCAAGUCGAGCGAAGCACUUUUUUAGAACUCUUCGGAGGGAAGAGAGGGUGACUUAGCGGCGGACGGGUGAGUAACGCGUGGGCAACCUGCCUUACACAGGGGGAUAACAAUUAGAAAUGAUUGCUAAUACCGCAUAAGACCCCAGUACCGCAUGGUACAGGGGUAAAAACUGAGGUGGUGUAAGAUGGACCCGCGUCUGAUUAGGUAGUUGGUGGGGUAGAAGCCUACCAAGCCGACGAUCAGUAGCCGACCUGAGAGGGCGACCGGCCACAUUGGGACUGAGACACGGCCCAAACUCCUACGGGAGGCAGCAGUGGGGAAUAUUGCACAAUGGGGGAAACCCUGAUGCAGCGACGCCGCGUGAGUGAGGAAGUAUUUCGGUAUGUAAAGCUCUAUCAGCAGGGAAGAAAAUGACGGUACCUGACUAAGAAGCCCCGGCUAACUACGUGCCAGCAGCCGCGGUAAUACGUAGGGGGCAAGCGUUAUCCGGAUUUACUGGGUGUAAAGGGAGCGUAGACGGAAUUGCAAGUCUGAUGUGAAAAUCCGGGGCCCAACCCCGGAACUGCAUUG
RNAcentral lists this ribosomal RNA (619 nucleotides) under uncultured bacterium. RNAcentral's name for it is "bacterial SSU rRNA". It matches the Rfam family "Bacterial small subunit ribosomal RNA", at positions 8 to 628 of the family's 1533-position model. The record is from RNAcentral.